AGUGGCGGACGGGUGAGUAAUGUCUGGGAAACUGCCUGAUGGAGGGGGAUAACUACUGGAAACGGUAGCUAAUACCGCAUAACGUCGCAAGACCAAAGAGGGGGACCUUCGGGCCUCUUGCCAUCGGAUGUGCCCAGAUGGGAUUAGCUAGUAGGUGGGGUAACGGCUCACCUAGGCGACGAUCCCUAGCUGGUCUGAGAGGAUGACCAGCCACACUGGAACUGAGACACGGUCCAGACUCCUACGGGAGGCAGCAGUGGGGAAUAUUGCACAAUGGGCGCAAGCCUGAUGCAGCCAUGCCGCGUGUAUGAAGAAGGCCUUCGGGUUGUAAAGUACUUCCAGCGGGGAGGAAGGGAGUAAAGUUAAUACCCUUGCUCAUUGACGUUACCCGCAGAAGAAGCACCGGCUAACUCCGUGCCAGCAGCCGCGGUAAUACGGAGGGUGCAAGCGCUAAUCGGAAUUACUGGGCGUAAAGCGCACGCAGGCGGUUUGUUAAGUCAGAUGUGAAAUCCCCGGGCUCAACCUGGGAACUGCAUCUGAUACUGGCAAGCUUGAGUCUCGUAGAGGGGGGUAGAAUUCCAGGUGUAGCGGUGAAAUGCGUAGAGAUCUGGAGGAAUACCGGUGGCGAAGGCGGCCCCCUGGACGAAGACUGACGCUCAGGUGCGAAAGCGUGGGGAGCAAACAGGAUUAGAUACCCUGGUAGUCCACGCCGUAAACGAUGUCGACUUGGAGG
This 733-nucleotide ribosomal RNA is filed under the name uncultured bacterium. Its description in RNAcentral is "bacterial SSU rRNA". It matches the Rfam family "Bacterial small subunit ribosomal RNA", at positions 94 to 823 of the family's 1533-position model. The record is from RNAcentral.